AGAGUUGUGGCUCAGUGGUAGAGUGCUUUCUUGGAAUGUGUGAGGCCCUGGGUUCGAUCCUCAGCGUCUCAC
Non-coding RNA from Ictidomys tridecemlineatus (thirteen-lined ground squirrel), 72 nucleotides. The record is from Rfam. NCBI's taxonomy places the organism in Eukaryota, Metazoa, Chordata, Mammalia, Rodentia, Sciuridae.